This 192-nucleotide ribosomal RNA is filed under the name uncultured bacterium. RNAcentral's name for it is "partial 16S ribosomal RNA". It matches the Rfam family "Bacterial small subunit ribosomal RNA", at positions 335 to 524 of the family's 1533-position model. The record is from RNAcentral.
ACUCCUACGGGAGGCAGCAGUGAGGAAUAUUGGUCAAUGGGGGCAACCCUGAACCAGCCAUGCCGCGUGCAGGAAGACGGCCCUAUGGGUUGUAAACUGCUUUUGUACGGGAAUAAUGGGUUCUACGUGUAGAGCUAUGAAUGUACCGUACGAAUAAGCAUCGGCUAACUCCGUGCCAGCAGCCGCGGUAAU